Molecule: long non-coding RNA, 1498 nt
Filed under: Mus pahari (shrew mouse)
Lineage: Eukaryota; Metazoa; Chordata; Mammalia; Rodentia; Muridae
Description: predicted gene, 26646 (MGP_PahariEiJ_G0002175.1)
Source: RNAcentral
UUUUUUUUUUAAAGCCAUGUAUGGUGGCCCACUCCUGCAAGGUUACCUAAGACAGGACAGUCACUAAGUAGGAGGACAGUCUGGUUUAUAUGGUAAAUUGCAGGCCAGCCUGAACCACAGGGUCAGUUCCCAUCUCAACAAAACAAAACAGAAGGAAGUGGGGUGGAGAGGAGAGGAGAAAGGGAAUCCACUGCAGUAGACCACGUGUGUAAUCCUUGCACUUAGCAGGAAGAAGGUGAGACCCUGUAUAAGGGGGGGAAGUCAGGAAUGGUAGUGCUUUAAUAAUAGCACUUGAAGAGGCAGGGGGAUGGAUCUCUGUGAGUUCAAUGCCAGCCUGGUCUACACAGUAAGUUCCAGUUCAGCCAGGGAUAUAGAGUAAGAACCUGUCUCAAAACAGACAGACAGAGAGACAGGAUAAAAAAGAAACCAGGCAGAAACGAAGUAGUUAAACACUGUAGAUCAGAACCUGGUAAUGAUUCACGCCUUUAAUCCCAGUACUUGGGAGACAGAGGCAGGUGGGGCUGAAGCUUGAAAUCUUCUGAUUUUAUUCCCUCUCAGACUGAACCAGUCUCUCAGGGGGGUGUUCUGAAACCUAACCACGAAUAAAAUAUUGGAGUACUGAAAACAACGGCAUUUGCGUUUCCCCAAAGGAAAUGAUUCUAGAAAAUUCUAGAAAUCUGCAUGAACGUUGCCGAGGCAUUCCAUGAUGGCUUUGUUUAUUUGCUUAUUUAAUUAUUUGAUUUCUUGAGAUCCGGUCUGGUGUAGCUCAAGCAGGCUUAGAACUAGCUGUGUAUCUGAGGAUAACUUUGAAGUCCUGAUCCUCUCGCCUCCAUCUCCCGAGUUCUGAGCUUUGAGGCGUGCACCACUACAACUGGCUUCUUGUAAUAAUAUCUCAUUUCCCCCCAAUUUUAAAAAGAGACUUUCUGCAACCUUACAGUAGCCCAACCCCAAUAAGUCCCAGCCAAUGCUGAAGCAAGUGAUUCCAGGAAAGAACUUCUCUCCAUGCCCUUGAGAAAAUAUAAGCUUAAAAGAACCCAACGACCAAUUUAUCACAAAACUACGCUCAUCAAUUAAAAAAAAAAAAAAAAAAAACCAAAACAGAAACAGAAACAAAAAACUUAAAGACAGAGGCUCCUGUCACCCAAGGUAUCAAUGAAGUACACUGUGUACUGCGUCUGUCCCUAAGACCCAAGGGAAAGUGUCACAAAGCACAGAAAAGCCGGGAUCCAGAAAGGAUGAGGGAGGAGCAGGGGGUGGGUCAUGCACGGUGCCAGAGCCCGAGAUGCUGCUGAGCGCGCCUGCGGGCCGUGGGGAAGGGAUGGCUCGGGUGCUCCGCAGGGGCAUGGCUGGUCGGGCCGCACUCACAAAACGCUGGUAGAAGCGGACCAGCCGCGGUUUCCCAUGGUUGUUGAAAACCAGAAUCGCCUGGAUCAUCUUUGCCGGUCCCGCUUCCCUCGGCACCAGCUGCUCCAAGAACGCACUUUCUUCCGGCACAACA